Molecule: non-coding RNA, 102 nt
Organism: Acanthosepion pharaonis
Lineage: Eukaryota; Metazoa; Mollusca; Cephalopoda; Sepiida; Sepiidae
Source: the annotation of a GenBank genome assembly
UUACGGCCAUACAGCAUUGAAACACCGCUUCCCGUACUAUCAUUGAGGUUAAGCAACGUCGAGCCUGGUCAGUAUCUAGAUGGGUCACCUCUUGGGAAUGUU